UACGGAGGGUGCAAGCGUUAUCCGGAUUCACUGGGUUUAAAGGGUGCGUAGGAGGGCAGGUAAGUCAGUGGUGAAAUCUCCGGGCUUAACUCGGAAACUGCCGUUGAUACUAUCUGUCUUGAAUAUUGUGGAGGUGAGCGGAAUAUGUCAUGUAGCGGUGAAAUGCUUAGAUAUGACAUAGAACACCAAUUGCGAAGGCAGCUCACUACACAAUCAUUGACGCUGAGGCACGAAAGCGUGGGGAUCAAACAGG
This 253-nucleotide ribosomal RNA is filed under the name uncultured bacterium. RNAcentral describes it as "partial 16S ribosomal RNA". It matches the Rfam family "Bacterial small subunit ribosomal RNA", at positions 524 to 776 of the family's 1533-position model. The record is from RNAcentral.